AUGGGAAGUUCAGAGUUUGAGCAAGCGAAGGCACACUUGCACGUCGACUGUGCUCAGCCACCAGCAAUAACUUGGCAGAGGAAAUUCGAUGAUGAAGGCAAGAAGGUUGCUAUGCUUAGCAUGACCACUGAUAUCUUCACAGUUAUACCAUUGAUUUUUAAAAUGCUUCGAUUACACGUCGAAGGAAUCGCGAAAAACCAAGUUGCCGUCUAUGAUCCGCUCAGGAAAUGGAUGGACAACUGCUACCGCGGGGUACCCCUUGGCGGACUAGGUUCAGGAAGCAUAGGGAGAAGCUACCGAGGGUACUUUCAGCAGUUUCAAAUAUUCCCCAGGAUCUAUGAAGAGAAGCCUGUCCUUGCCAACCAGUUCUCAGCAUUCGUUUCGCAUCCUGGGGGGAAGAGCUACUCGACGGUGUUGAAACUGGUAUGCUGCUAUUUUUGUCAGGCUCGCCUUUUCGAUGCGCAAAAUGAUGAGGGAUAA
This 480-nucleotide ribosomal RNA is filed under the name Triticum aestivum (bread wheat). RNAcentral describes it as "partial small subunit ribosomal RNA". The record is from RNAcentral. Lineage: Eukaryota; Viridiplantae; Streptophyta; Magnoliopsida; Poales; Poaceae.